UUUCCGGUUGAUCCCGCCGGACCUGACUGCUAUCGGAUUGAUACUAAGCCAUGCGAGUCUUUGUAGUAAUACAAGGCAGACGGCUCAGUAACACGUAGUCAACCUACCCUAUGGACAAGAAUAAUCUCGGGAAACUGGGCAUAAUUCUUGAUAGAUCAUAAUGCCUGGAAUGGUUUAUGGUUAAAAUGAUUCGUCGCCAUAGGAUGGGACUGCGGCCUAUCAGCUUGUUGGUGAGGUAAUGGCCCACCAAGGCGAUUACAGGUACGGGCUCUGAGAGGAGAAGCCCGGAGAUGGGUACUGAGACACGGACCCAGGCCCUAUGGGGCGCAGCAGGCGAGAAAACUUUGCAAUGUGCGAAAGCACGACAAGGUUAAUCCGAGUGAUUUCUGCUAAAGAAAUCUUUUGCCAGUCAUAAAACCACUGGUGAAUAAGGGGUGGGCAAGUUCUGGUGUCAGCCGCCGCGGUAAAACCAGCACCUCAAGUGGUCAGGAUGAUUAUUGGGCCUAAAGCAUCCGUAGCCGGCUUUGUUAGUUUUCGGUUAAAUCCAUGUGCUCAACGCAUGGGCUGCCGAAAAUACUGCAUGGCUAGGGAGUGGGAGAGGUAGACGGUACUCAGUAGGAAGGGGUAAAAUCCUUUGAUCUAUUGAUGACCACCUGUGGCGAAGGCGGUCUACCAGAACACGUUCGACGGUGAGGGAUGAAAGCUGGGGGAGCAAACCGGAUUAGAUACCCGGGUAGUCCCAGCUGUAAACGAUGCAGACUCGAUGAUGCAUUGGCAUAAUAGCCAGUGCAGUGUCGCAGGGGAGCCGUUAAGUCUGCCGCCUGGGAAGUACGUACGCAAGUAUGAAACUUAAAGGAAUUGGCGGGGGAGCACCACAAGGGGUGAAGCCUGCGGUUCAAUUGGAGUCAACGCCGGG
Molecule: ribosomal RNA, 916 nt
Filed under: uncultured archaeon
Lineage: Archaea
Description: SSU rRNA
Rfam family: Archaeal small subunit ribosomal RNA
Source: RNAcentral